AACGAACGCUGGCGGCAGGCUUAACACAUGCAAGUCGAACGGACCCUUCGUGGUCAUCUGCGGACGUCUGAUUAACACGUGGUAACUUACCCUUUAGUUCGGAGUCACUCUGUGUAACUAGCGCUAAUACCACAGACGCCCUUAUGGGGUACGGCUUGCUGCCGAAUGAUCGGGGCGCGUCAGAUUAGCUAGUUGGGGGGGUAAUGGCAUAGCAAGGCGACGAUCAUUAGCUGGUCUGAGAGGAUGAUAAGCCACACUGGGACUGAGACACGGCCCAGACUCGUACGGGAGGCAGCAGUGGGGAAUAUUGGAGACUGGGCGCAAGCGUGACAAAGCCAUGCCGGGUGAGUGAUGAAGGCCUUAGGGUUGUAAAGUUCUUUUGUACGGGACGAUAAUGACGGUAAUGGAAGAAUAAGCACCGGCUAACUUCGUG
This 433-nucleotide ribosomal RNA is filed under the name uncultured bacterium. RNAcentral describes it as "partial 16S ribosomal RNA". It matches the Rfam family "Bacterial small subunit ribosomal RNA", at positions 29 to 507 of the family's 1533-position model. The record is from RNAcentral.